AGGGAUCCAUAAUAUCUUAGUUUUAAUAUCUGGGAUCCUAAAUUUUCUUAUUAAAAGGAGAAAAGUAAAAAUAGUUGUUGAAAUUCUGUUCUGCGAUGGAUUAGAUUACACGGUGUUGAUUUUUGUGAUGCAAAACAAUGUCUUUAUGAUUGCCAGUAAUGUCCUUGGAUUGAGCUGUCUUCAGAGAAACUUGGCCUAUAAUAAGAGUGCUCCACACUAAAUGUUGUGAUCAAUGUUAGCGUGCCAUCUGACAUCGAAGAAUAUAAAAAGUUUACAGACAAUGUUUCUUGGAAACAAUGGCCUAUCAGGAACCAUUCCUCAGCAAAAGGCUGUAUAUUUUAAAAACAUGAAUCUAGUGGCCAGCAAUUUCAUGUUUGACU
This is a long non-coding RNA of Mangifera indica (mango), 380 nucleotides long. RefSeq lists it as uncharacterized. NCBI's taxonomy places the organism in Eukaryota, Viridiplantae, Streptophyta, Magnoliopsida, Sapindales, Anacardiaceae. The record is from RefSeq and is a predicted model, not a curated record. The transcript is spliced from 4 exons.